CUACGGGCCGUAGCAGUGAGGAAUAUUGCACAAUGGGGGGAACCCUGAUGCAGCAACGCCGCGUGGAGGAUGACGCAUUUCGGUGUGUAAACUCCUUUUAUAUGUCAAGAAAAUGACGGUAGCAUAUGAAUAAGCACCGGCUAACUCCGUGCCAGCAGCCGCGGUAAUACGGAGGGUGCAAGCGUUACUCGGAAUCACUGGGCGUAAAGGACGCGUAGGCGGGUUGGAAAGUCAGGUGUGAAAUCCUACAGCUUAACUGUAGAACUGCACUUGAAACUUCUAAUCCAGAGUAUGGGAGGGGGAGAUGGAAUUAGUGGUGUAGGGGUAAAAUCCGUAGAUAUCACUAGGAAUACCUAAAGCGAAGGCGAUCUCCUGGAACAUUACUGACGCUAAGGCGUGAAAGCGUGGGGAGCAAACAGGAUUAGAUACCCCCGUAGUC
RNAcentral lists this ribosomal RNA (439 nucleotides) under uncultured bacterium. RNAcentral describes it as "partial 16S ribosomal RNA". It matches the Rfam family "Bacterial small subunit ribosomal RNA", at positions 339 to 795 of the family's 1533-position model. The record is from RNAcentral.